UUCUUUUCUUCGAUGAGCUUGACUCCAUUGCCACUCAGGUAUUGUCAUGUGUUCCGUAUUCCCUUUUCGUUACUUAUGCCCUUUACCUUUUAUCAAAAAAAAAAUUAAUGAACAUCUUUGAUAACAGAGAGGUAGCAGUGUUGGAGAUGCUGGUGGUGCUGCAGACAGAGUAUUGAACCAGCUUCUUACAGAGAUGGAUGGAAUGUCUGCUAAGAAGACUGUCUUCAUCAUCGGAGCUACAAACAGACCAGACAUCAUCGACCCUGCACUUCUGCGUCCUGGUCGUCUCGAUCAGCUCAUUUACAUUCCUCUUCCUGAUGAGGAGUCUCGUUACCAG
RNAcentral lists this long non-coding RNA (337 nucleotides) under Capsella rubella. RNAcentral's name for it is "long non-coding RNA (CRUB_LNC002802)". Lineage: Eukaryota; Viridiplantae; Streptophyta; Magnoliopsida; Brassicales; Brassicaceae. The record is from RNAcentral.